Molecule: ribosomal RNA, 430 nt
Filed under: uncultured bacterium
Lineage: Bacteria
Description: partial 16S ribosomal RNA
Rfam family: Bacterial small subunit ribosomal RNA
Source: RNAcentral
CUAAGAAUAUUCCGCAAUGGGAGCAAUCCUGACGGAGCGACGCCGCGUGAAUGAUGAAGGCCGAAAGGUUGUAAAAUUCUUUUAUACGGGAAGAAUAAGGAUAGUGAGAGAAACGCUAUUCGAUGACGGUACCGUAUGAAUAAGCCCCGGCUAACUACGUGCCAGCAGCCGCGGUAAUACGUAGGGGGCAAGCGUUGUUCGGAUUUAUUGGGCGUAAAGGGCAUGUAGGCUGUGAUACAAGUGUGAGUUGAAAGACCGGAGCUUAACUCCGAGUUUGGCUUGCAAACUGUAUUACUAGAGUACAGGAGGGGAGACUGGAAUUCCACGUGUAGGGGUGAAAUCUGUAGAGAUGUGGAAGAAUACCAAUGGCGAAGGCAAGUCUCUGGCCUGUUACUGACGCUGAAAUGCGAAAGUGUGGGGAGCAAACAGG